UAGAGAUUGAGAGUGAGUCAGAGGCAUGGGCAACAUGCAGGGGCAGUGGAGACAGCUCUGUUGCUGAGGUGUCCCUAAUUGCUGGCUAAUUGGGAACCCACGGGAUUGGUUGGGCAGCGCAUAAAAUCCACUGUGUCCUCCCAACGGGAGAGCUUUUGGAGAGCUGCUUCGGACGACGAAAAGAUUCCGGGGCCCGCGCCAGACGACGAAAAACUAGUCAUCGACGACGAACGAAGAGUGAGAUCCCUGGUUGGUGGCAGGCGCCCCUGAAGGACUCUACUACAAACCUCCACGUAGUGGGACAACAGCAACCGUUCGAGCAACGAUCGAGCAGAAGGACAAAUACAACGCACUCAACGAAACAACGUCAAGGAAACGCUAGAGAACACUGGUAUCAUGAGCACCGCCAAGAGACAUACAACGCCCUCUAUUUCUGCAGCAAAGUUCUGUGGGAAACGUACCCACGCCACCGCUGUGAAAGGACAGUUUUGGUGGAACUGCGGUGCGCUUGCGGCUGCGUUACACUGGAGCCCUGAGUCAUCAGCUGGGUCGUGAGUGUUGUCUGGACUGGUGGCAUAGAUGGACGAAUCCUCUCCUAAGUGCUCUACUUUUAAUUACUUGUAUAUGAAUCUGUAUUUUAUGCUAUUGUCGUGAGGGACUAGGGGUUAUGAGCCUAUCGCCGUUUUGCGGCAUACAUUUAUGGUGCACGAUUAUGUUUUGCAGUGUUGUGGGUUUUGCUGUGAAAUUGCUGUGGGUUUUGCUGUGAACUUGCUGUGAAUUGCUGUGGAUUUGCUAACAUUAGCUUUUGGCACCAGGUGCGGAGCUGCGAUUUGCUCAUGACUAGGUCUUCUGUUGUUUUAGAACUGGAUAUUAAUAAAGUUGUAUUUUUGUAAACUA
Hypomesus transpacificus is the source of this 897-nucleotide long non-coding RNA. RefSeq lists it as uncharacterized. The record is from RefSeq and is a predicted model, not a curated record. The transcript has 2 exons. NCBI's taxonomy places the organism in Eukaryota, Metazoa, Chordata, Actinopteri, Osmeriformes, Osmeridae.